GUCUAUGGCCAUACCACCCUGAACGUGCCCGAUCUCGUCUGCUCUCGGAAGCUAAGCAGGGUCGGGCCUGGUUAGUACUUGGAUGGGAGGCAGAAUGUAGCUGCUUAUU
This 109-nucleotide ribosomal RNA is filed under the name Heterocephalus glaber (naked mole-rat). The record is from RNAcentral. Lineage: Eukaryota; Metazoa; Chordata; Mammalia; Rodentia; Bathyergidae.